AAAGAUAGUACCAUUCCAAUGGACAGUUUUUAAUAGUAAUAUAAAACAUUUUUGUUUCUUUUCUUAUUCUAAUUAAGAUUUUAGAAUUAUUUUUAAUUUAAGUUACAUUAUUGUAAUAUUCAUUUAAUAGCCAGUUAUCAGGUUUUAAAUCCCUUCUAAAGGCCAAAUAUAUAUACAAAUUAAAAUGGAUCUUUAUCAGUUAUCUAAGCAGAAUACAAUUGCUUCAACCCCAAGUGAAGUCAUUACACUUAUAGCAGACAUUACAUUAGCAAAGUUCUUUUACCAACCUUCUGCUGACAGGCUUGGCUUGUAUUUAUGAAUCAAACCUUCUUUUUGUAGAUACUGUGCCAACUGUGAGUGGUUACUAAUUCAUCUAGAUGAAGAUGCAAAGGAAUCCAGAAGAUUGCAGUAUAUUAAUAAAUCAAUUGUUAGGCAAGGUAAAGAGAAAAAUCAUGAAAUUAAAAGAUAUAACAUUUCAGUAAAAAUAGUAAAACCAUGCCUAAAAGAUUCAAGAUUGACUUGCAUUUGGGAACAUAAGAUCAGAAAAAUGGCUAUUGUCCCUACUGAACAGUAUUACACAAUGCUUCAAGAAUAUAUAGAUAUCUUGAGUGCAGUAUAUCUAGACAAAGACCUAACUCACUACUCAUCCAUCAAAUUCAGUAGCCAAAUUAAUAAAAUCUGAGCACUUCCUGGAAUGCACUAGGAUGUUAAUAAAAUCAAGAAUCCAGCAUGUCAGUCUUAAGAUGCAUAAAAAUCCUGUCCCCAUUCCACUUAUGAUUGACAAAACCAAAUCUCAAUAUAUCAUCUUGAGAGGAGGAUUGCGUAAUGGUGCUUACAAGACUACACUCAUAUGAAUAUAUCAUUGGCUCUAGAGCUUCUUAUUGAAAGACUUAUGGAAACGCCAUCUUUCAGAGGAAAUUGUCUUUACUUUGGAUUUCCAGAACCUAUUUCCACCUAUCAAAUUAUCUUCAGCUUAUUUCUUGCUAUAUUGUUUCAUCUUACAUCACAUGCCAGAAGGAGCUACUACUCAGAUCUUAUAUGUGAUUUCUGUCAUAUGCUAGUUUAUUAUUCCUACUUUCAAUUUUCUAGAAUGUAUUACAAACAGACACUGGGAGUUCCAAUUGCUGCCUUAUGGCCAGUAUGAUGGCUGAAUUAGUUUUCCUGUUUAAAAAGUAUCAGGUGAUUCCAUCUCUCAAACAUUACAUCAAACUAUACAUUAGAUAUGUUGAUGAUAUAUGUGUGAGCUGAAGCAACCAAGAAAUGAAAUGAGCUCUGUAUAAAUAUGUCUGAUGAUAUUCUAGGCCUGAUAUUAAAAUGUGAACAAUCCUCUAAUGCCACAGUGCACUUUCUAGAUUUAAAUAUUGAUAUUACAAGUCCAGAAUACAAGCUGAAUUCAGAAAACACAUGCAUUUGCCUGUAAUAAUUUCAUCAUAUUAUUACAAAAAAUAUGGCAUUAAUUUAAAACAUUUUUUAGAAGGGUUGAGAUGCAUUGCUCUACACCUGAGUCUAGACUUAAGAUAGGGUUUUCCAAAUUGUGGGGCCCAAGUCUAUUGCAAGAUGGCACAUAAGAAUUAAUAAAAACAUCAUUUUUGAGACAAAUGAAAGAUAAAUUCAAAUUG
RNAcentral lists this long non-coding RNA (1619 nucleotides) under Androctonus crassicauda. Lineage: Eukaryota; Metazoa; Arthropoda; Arachnida; Scorpiones; Buthidae. The record is from RNAcentral.